CUGGCUUUGCAGACCAGGAGUCCUAAUGCAUGGAGCCAAGUAACAGGAGAGAGGACAGCACCUGUGUCCUGGCUGGAAUAGGUCCAUGGAGGUCUUGGCUUUUUGCUCACAGAAAGAGAUGGGACAGGAAACUGAGGCUGGAAGAAAUGGCCUGAAAAGGUAGGACUGAGAGAAGACUUCCUACUUGUCUUGCUGCAAGGAAAGAGAUUUCAAAAUGAAGAUGCUGAAUAAAAGGAUAAUAAAUUAAAUAGCAAAAUCAGAAAGAGAGAUUAGAUGCAUAAAAGAAUGCCAAGAUUGCCAGAAGCAUUCUGCAUUGGAAGGAAUUUCUAGGAAGGAAGCCUGUGUGAUCCCCAAUGACUGAAGUAAGCAUGGGGCUAUGGGGGGAGAAUAACAAAAACCAUGGCAUGAAGGUGCUCAGGGCAGCAUCUUCUCUGGCAGAAGACAAACUAGCUAGAGAAAAACUGGCUCAGAAGACAAGCACUUGAUGGAAAAGAAGAGGGAGAAACAAGAGAAGGAGAAACAAUGUAAAUUGAGUUUAUUGUGUUUAUAAAAAUCUCAUAUAUGA
Felis catus (domestic cat) is the source of this 565-nucleotide long non-coding RNA. RefSeq lists it as uncharacterized. The transcript has 2 exons. The record is from RefSeq and is a predicted model, not a curated record. NCBI's taxonomy places the organism in Eukaryota, Metazoa, Chordata, Mammalia, Carnivora, Felidae.